CAUCGGCGUUUUUUGCCGAGUCCGGAGUAUGGCCCGUCCCCCGCCUAGACCGGACACAGCGGCAGCCUAAUCCCCCUCUCCGGGCUGCCGCUCCAUUUUGAAGUACCGCCGCCGUGGUCUCCCCCUCCGCCACGGCGGCAUUUC
RNAcentral lists this small RNA (144 nucleotides) under Mesorhizobium alhagi CCNWXJ12-2. RNAcentral's name for it is "Alphaproteobacterial sRNA ar7". It matches the Rfam family "Alphaproteobacterial sRNA ar7". The record is from Rfam by way of RNAcentral. Lineage: Bacteria; Pseudomonadati; Pseudomonadota; Alphaproteobacteria; Hyphomicrobiales; Phyllobacteriaceae.